CGUCACUCCUACGGGAGGCAGCAGUGGGGAAUUUUGGACAAUGGGCGAAAGCCUGAUCCAGCAAUGCCGCGUGAGUGAAGAAGGCCUUCGGGUUGUAAAGCUCUUUUGUCAGGGAAGAAACGGUGAAAGCUAAUAUCUUUUGCUAAUGACGGUACCUGAAGAAUAAGCACCGGCUAACUACGUGCCAGCAGCCGCGGUAAUACGUAGGGUGCAAGCGUUAAUCGGAAUUACUGGGCGUAAAGCGUGCGCAGGCGGUUUUGUAAGUCUGAUGUGAAAUCCCCGGGCUCAACCUGGGAAUUGCAUUGGAGACUGCAAGGCUAGAAUCUGGCAGAGGGGGGUAGAAUUCCACGUGUAGUAGUGAAAUGCGUAGAUAUGUGGAGGAACACCGAUGGCGAAGGCAGCCCCCUGGGUCAAGAUUGACGCUCAUGCACGAAAGCGUGGGGAGCAAACAGGAUUAGAAACCCCUGUAGUCCCAUG
Molecule: ribosomal RNA, 477 nt
Filed under: uncultured organism
Description: partial 16S ribosomal RNA
Rfam family: Bacterial small subunit ribosomal RNA
Source: RNAcentral